This is an RNA transcript of Columba livia (rock pigeon), 3431 nucleotides long. It is a transcript of the gene named mutL homolog 1, with no coding region annotated. The record is from RefSeq and is a predicted model, not a curated record. NCBI's taxonomy places the organism in Eukaryota, Metazoa, Chordata, Aves, Columbiformes, Columbidae. The transcript has 19 exons.
GCUCGAGGGGGCAGGAGGCUGUGGGAUGUGGUUUGGCGCGAGCCGCCGGAGCGGCUUCGCGCGGCCUUUUCUUACCUCCCGACCCGGUCCCGCUCGCCGCGCUGUUCCCGCCGGCCCCGGGCCCUCGCUGCCCUCACCCGCAUUGCCCCCUCCCCGUAGCCGCCGUGCGGUCUCCGCUGGCCCACAGGGGCACCCUAAGUAAUCCCCCUGGGCUUCCCCCCCGCCGCCGAGCAGCAGCCCCAGCGCCGCUCCUCUCCCCUCAGACCCCGUUCGCUGUGGCUGCCCGAGCAGCCGCUCUUCUGCCUCGGGCGUCCUUUGCUUCCCUCGCCCUUCCCGCCCGGCUCCUGUCACGGCACCGAUGGCCGGCGUGAUCCGGCGGCUGGAUGAAACGGUGGUGAACCGCAUCGCGGCCGGCGAGGUCAUCCAGAGGCCGGCGAACGCCAUCAAGGAGAUGAUAGAAAACUGUUUGGACGCAAAAUCUACAAGUAUCCAGGUAGUAGUUAAAGAAGGGGGUCUGAAGUUCAUCCAAGUCCAAGAUAAUGGCUGUGGUAUCAGAAAAGAAGAUCUGGACAUUGUAUGUGAGAGAUUUACUACGAGCAAACUGCAAAAAUUUGAAGACUUAGCUAGCAUUUCCACGUACGGUUUUAGGGGCGAGGCAUUGGCCAGCAUCAGUCAUGUUGCCCAUGUUACUGUCACAACUAAAACAGCUGAUGCAAAAUGUGCAUACAGAGCUGUAUACAGUGAUGGAAAAAUUAAAGGCCCUCCGAAACCCUGUGCUGGAAACCAAGGAACUCAGAUCACAGUUGAAGAUCUUUUUUACAAUGUAAAUACAAGGAGGAAAGCUUUAAAAAAUCCAAGUGAAGAAUAUGCAAAAAUAGUAGAAGUUGUUAGCAGGUAUGCCAUCCAUAACUCAGGCAUCAGCUUUUCAGUUAAAAAGCAAGGUGAUACCAUGUCAGAUGUUAGAACGUUGUCAAACGCCUCAACAGUGGACAACAUCAGGUCCAUCUUUGGAAAUGCUGUUAGCAGGGAACUGAUAGAAGUGGGCUGUGAAGAUGCAAGUCUGGCCUUUAAACUGAAAGGCUACAUCACGAAUGCAAACUACUCUGUGAAGAAAUGUAUAUUUUUACUCUUCAUAAACCAUCGAUUGGUUGAGUCAGCCGCUUUGCGGAAAGCCAUAGAAACUGUGUAUGCUGCUUAUUUGCCAAAAAGUACGCAUCCAUUCCUAUACUUAAGCCUGGAAAUAGCUCCCCAAAAUGUAGAUGUGAAUGUGCACCCUACAAAACAUGAGGUCCAUUUCCUUCAUGAAGACAGUAUUCUAGAGCAUGUGCAACGACAUGUAGAGAACAAGUUACUGGGCUCUAAUUCUUCAAGGAUGUACUUCACUCAGACGUUGCUUCCGGGGGCCGACUGUUCUUCCAGCGAGGUUGUGAAAUCAGCAGCAAACACUUCUGCGGUCACCAAAGGAACGAGCGACAAAGUUUACGCGCAUCAGAUGGUCCGCACCGAUUCCCGAGAGCAGAAAUUAGACGCUUUUCUUCAGCCAGUGAACAACCCCCUAAGUACAGGCCCCACUGAAGGGACGACAGAGGUGAACGCGCGACCUCCGGAAGGUGUGGACAGGCCACAGGAUGCUGAAAUGGAAGAUGUCAGUGAUGUAGUUGAAGUGGCUGAUGUUCAGGACACAGUCGUGCCUGGGGGGCUGAGUGAGAGUGGACACUUGUCUCCUGAGACAGUGCCUCCUCGAAAGAGACCACGGAAAGAUGUGGACGUAGAAAUGGAGGAAGAUGACACAAGAAAGGACAUGACAGCUGCCUGCACCCCUAAAAGAAGAAUUAUCAACUUGACCAGUGUGUUGACUCUCCAGGAGGAAAUUAGUAACCAGGCACAUGCAAAUCUUCAGGAGAUGCUACAUGAUCAUUCCUUUGUUGGCUGUGUCAGUCCUCAGUGGGCUCUGGCCCAAUAUCAGACCAAACUGUACCUCCUCAAUACAACAAAACUCAGCCAAGAACUCUUUUACCAGAUACUUAUUUAUGACUUUGCAAACUUUGGAGUCUUAAGGUUGUCUGAGCCAGCUCCUUUAUAUCAGCUUUCCAUGCUUGCUUUAGAGAAUCCUGAAAGUGGGUGGACAGAAGAAGAUGGCCCAAAAGAAGGGCUUGCUGAGUACAUUGUGGAGUUUCUGAAAAAGAAGAGUGAAAUGUUGAAAGAUUAUUUUUCUCUUGAAAUCGAUGAGCAGCAGCAUUGCCUUGCAGGAAGGAAACCUUACUGGGUUACCACUUCUGAUAGACAACUAUGUUCCACCGCUGGAAGGACUGCCUAUGUUUAUCCUUCGCUUGGCCACAGAGGUAAAUUGGGAUGAAGAAAAGGAGUGUUUUGAAAGCCUAAGUAAAGAACUAGCUAUGUUCUACUCUAUUAGAAAGCAAUAUAUAAUAGAUGAAGCCAACCCAACAGACUCUCAGAACGAAGAUUGUGACUCUGGUUCAACAACAUGGAAGUGGACUGUGGAACAUAUACUUUACAAAGCUUUUAGGACCCAUCUUUUACCUCCUAAGCACUUUGCAGAAGAUGGCAACAUUUUGCAGCUUGCUAACCUGCCUGACCUCUAUAAAGUUUUUGAGAGGUGUUGAGCAAGUAGCUAUUUUUAUAGACUGGUGCAUAUCUAAAAAACAUUCAUGCUACCUUCCGUUUUACUUAGUAGAGGACUAAGUUGGAAUCUUGAUGGAGGAAUACUAAUGUGACAGCAAAUGAUCUAUUUUUCUUCUAUUCAUCAAAGAAUGAAAAGAAUCAUUUUAGCUAUGUCUAAACCCAACUGAAGUUCCUAAAAUAAAACCUCCACUUACGGUCUGAAUCUCAUUAUUAAGCAGUAUGCUAAGAGUAUAUAACUUCCCCUGAAGUAAAAGAAUUUGGUUAAUUACAAAAGGAGACAAGAGCUUAGUUGAAAUGCAAGUCCUCAUUUCCCACACCAUGAAAAGAGUAGAAGUUCAUAACAGCACUCACUGUCUGUGGAGAGUAGGCUAUGGACAAAACCCGCACCCUUUCAGAAAGCACCUUCUUCCUUGUACUGCCCAUCUUUAAUGGCAGUACCAUGUCCAUGAGGUAAACACUGGAGUGUCACAUCUUCCGGAGCCAGCCAGACCAGCGAGGGGGAAGCGGACACGGGGUUCAGCCCACACAGAAUGUUAACAACUGAGCAACCCACAAAAUGAAACUUGCAGAGAGCAACUGCCUUGAGCUGGAAUCAACCCAUAUGUUACUUCCCGGUGAUGGUGGAGCAGAUCAGGACUGGUAACAGGAAUCACAUUUGUGUUGUGAUUCUGCUGUAUAUGGCCACUGUUAUAUUAUGCUUGUCUUGUGAUUUCAGCAUACUGUUGUAUGACUUUUCUAAAUGCAAAUCACAUGUAAUGCCUAAUAUAUUAAAUUUGAUAUUAAACAAA